Molecule: ribosomal RNA, 253 nt
Filed under: uncultured bacterium
Lineage: Bacteria
Description: partial 16S ribosomal RNA
Rfam family: Bacterial small subunit ribosomal RNA
Source: RNAcentral
UACGAAGGUGGCUAGCGUUGUUCGGAUUUAUUGGGCGUAAAGGGUCCGUAGGCGGUUUGAUAAGUCAGGUGUGAAAUCCCACAGCUUAACUGUGGACACGCAUUUGAUACUGUUAGACUAGAGUAUGAGAGGGGUGAGAGGAAUUUCCAGUGUAGGGGUGAAAUCCGUAGAUAUUGGAAAGAACACCGGCCGCGAAGGCGUUUCACUGGCUCAUUACUGACGCUCAGGGACGAAAGCUAGGGGAGCAAACGGG